CCCAGCUCUAAGUCAGCUGGCCAGGCCCUGGCUGCCUGGUUCAGUGUUACAGGGCUGGCAGAGAAAGCCUCUGUUCUCCGCCUCAGCAGCGCCCCCUCUGUUCUGGAGGCUGAUGCUGCUGAGCUGCAGCAGAGCGUGGCCCAAAGAGAGUGGCCGGUCCUGGUGGGACUGCAGGGCGGGCCUAGUGGAGGGCUUCACACU
Molecule: non-coding RNA, 201 nt
Organism: Xiphophorus maculatus (southern platyfish)
Lineage: Eukaryota; Metazoa; Chordata; Actinopteri; Cyprinodontiformes; Poeciliidae
Source: Rfam